This 466-nucleotide ribosomal RNA is filed under the name uncultured bacterium. RNAcentral's name for it is "partial 16S ribosomal RNA". It matches the Rfam family "Bacterial small subunit ribosomal RNA", at positions 28 to 507 of the family's 1533-position model. The record is from RNAcentral.
GACGAACGCUGGCGGCGUGCUUAACACAUGCAAGUCGAACGGAAAGGCCCUGCUUGCAGGGUACUCGAGUGGCGAACGGGUGAGUAACACGUGGGUGAUCUGCCCUGCACUUCGGGAUAAGCCUGGGAAACUGGGUCUAAUACCGGAUAGGAGCCAUUUUUAGUGUGAUGGUUGGAAAGUUUUUUUCGGUGUAGGAUGAGCUCGCGGCCUAUCAGCUUGUUGGUGGGGUAAUGGCCUACCAAGGCGGCGACGGGUAGCCGGCCUGAGAGGGUGGACGGCCACAUUGGGACUGAGAUACGGCCCAGACUCCUACGGGAGGCAGCAGUGGGGAAUAUUGCACAAUGGGCGCAAGCCUGAUGCAGCGACGCCGCGUGGGGGAUGACGGCCUUCGGGUUGGAAACUCCUUUCGCUAGGGACGAAGCUUUUUGUGACGGUACCUAGAGAAGAAGCACCGGCUAACUACGUG